This 5891-nucleotide long non-coding RNA is filed under the name Citrus sinensis (sweet orange). RNAcentral's name for it is "long non-coding RNA (CSIN_LNC002340)". Lineage: Eukaryota; Viridiplantae; Streptophyta; Magnoliopsida; Sapindales; Rutaceae. The record is from RNAcentral.
CGGCGGCGCCAGCGUUUCCAACGGCGGAAAAUGCGGAUGAGUGGGGGGAGGAGAUGGCGGGAGAUAAGGCGGGAGUAUGUGACGACUAGAAACGCGGUGGCAACCACAACUACCAUGGCGAUCAACGGCGGGCUGAAGUCAACUGGAGGUUUGGUAUUAUUAUUAUUGUUAUUAUUAUUCGACGGUGGUGAUGUUGACGACGACGACGACGACGACGACGAAGACGACGUGAUGUCGUAAGCUGUGGUCGGGCUGAUUGGAGGAUAUGCGGGGGGUAAGCUGAUCAUGAUGAUGGUGGUGAGGGGAAGGUUGGGUGCCUCCAGUGAGGUUUUCGCGCAGGGGGUUUAAUGUUAAGGUUUGACUGUUUUUGUUUGUGUAUUUUAGAGCUUUUGUUGACGGAGAGUCGGGCGAGUGACACGUCGUUUCUGCUGAAUUUAAGGCACAUGGGGAGAUAUCAGGUGCGUGUGAACGACAAUAGAAGCAUUUACUGCUGCGCUUAUUAUUUCUCGGCACGUCAUAAUUGGUGCUUCGUGUUUAUCUUUGUUAUCCACGUGGCUGUGAUUUAUUGGUUAUUGACUAGGAAGUCGUCUUGCUUCUGUUAUUUUAUUUAUUUUUAUUUAUUUUUAUUUAUUAUAUAGAGAGUAAAGCAAAGAGAAUACGUGGCUUUGAUGUGGUGGCCCACAGCGCAAUUUCCACAAAACUAAAAGGCACAUCAUGCAUAAUAUAAAAACUCUUUUUGUUGACUUCCACUCUGCUUUUUCUGAUGACUGAUUGUAAGGGGCAGGCUGUUUGCCAGUUUCUUCAUUGGCUCUUGAACAUUUUGCUUUCUUGGGAAAUAACUCAUAGGUCCCCGAGAGCUUUCAUUUUCACAAAUGGCAACAUAAUUUGUCCGUUUGUAUUAAGUGGAUCUUCCGCCACUUCUGUUAAGUAAUUUGUCCGUUUGGUCAUUUCACUAAGGAUUAUGGACCUGUUUCAUACAAAUGGAAUAUUAUGCGCUUAUUUGUUGAAACCUAAAAUCCUCUGGAUCUGGGUGUUAUUAUUUCAAUUUUUUAAUCAUGUAAAUUUGCUCAUUCACCUAAUCAUGGAAGUAUGAAAGUGUGUGUAUUGGAUCAUUAGAAUUACAAAUAUAAGUCAUGUCUCUAAUAUAGACACCACCACACUGUAAGUUUAUAUAACACGAGUUAAUAGGACUUUAUAAGUACAUAGGCUUCGUUAUUUGUAAUAAUUGUUGUACAAUUCUUAGCGUAAGGCAAUUUUGGUCUAGUAAUUUGUUUUUUUUGAGAAACUGAUUCAGUUGUCAGGUUCUUUUACUCUUUUUUUUUUUUAUUCUUGGUUGAUUGUCUUAAAAAGGCAUAACCGAAACCAUGACAACUCUUUAAAUUUUGAACCGAAGUAGAAUUGAAUUCUCAAUUUGAAUCGGACUGAAUCAAUUGAUACAGUGCAGGCGUUUUACCAACCCCUAUCUAUCUAUGCCACUAAAGUUGAGUUACUCUAAUAUUCGGUAAAUAUUUACAACUGUGGUUUGAAAGUUAACAUUAAAUAUUAUUAUGGUUUUUAAGCUAAUAUUAGGAAUCAUUAUGUAGUUUAUCAAAAUAUAUAUAAAAAUUAUCUAACAUGACUUCGGAAUAUAAUCUUUUCAUCGAAAUAUAAAAGCUAUAUACUGAGUACACACUUAUCAAUUUUUAAUUCAUAAUUAUAACUUCGUUUUUCAUAGCAGCUUUGAAUUUGACUUUAAAAUCACAACGGCGCAAUAACACUGCACAAUUCAAGAUGAUCCAAAAUAAAUUGUAUCCCAUUGUGCUAAUAGAAUUUUAAGAUACAUGAAUUUAUCUUUGGUUAACGUUUUGCCUGGAGCUUGUGUAUAAGAUAAGAAAAUAUCAUGUCGACGAAUGAUUGUGUAUGGUCGAGAUUUCAUUUCAAUUUAACCACAACGCAAUAAAAGCUAUAUACUGAGUACACACUUAUCAAUUUUUAAUUCAUAAUUAUAACUUCGUUUUUCAUAGCAGCUUUGAAUUUGACUUUAAAAUCACAACGGCGCAAUAACACUGCACAAUUCAAGAUGAUCCAAAAUAAAUUGUAUCCCAUUGUGCUAAUAGAAUUUUAAGAUACAUGAAUUUAUCUUUGGUUAACGUUUUGCCUGGAGCUUGUGUAUAAGAUAAGAAAAUAUCAUGUCGACGAAUGAUUGUGUAUGGUCGAGAUUUCAUUUCAAUUUAACCACAACGCAAUAAAAGCUAUAUACUGAGUACACACUUAUCAAUUUUUAAUUCAUAAUUAUAACUUCGUUUUUCAUAGCAGCUUUGAAUUUGACUUUAAAAUCACAACGGCGCAAUAACACUGCACAAUUCAAGAUGAUCCAAAAUAAAUUGUAUCCCAUUGUGCUAAUAGAAUUUUAAGAUACAUGAAUUUAUCUUUGGUUAACGUUUUGCCUGGAGCUUGUGUAUAAGAUAAGAAAAUAUCAUGUCGACGAAUGAUUGUGUAUGGUCGAGAUUUCAUUUCAAUUUAACCACAACGCAAUCAACUAAAAAUACUAUAUUAAUAAAAGAAAAUAAAUAAAAGAAAAAAAAUGUAAAUAUUGUGAUUAUCACUCUCCUUUUAGUGAGAAAAUCGGUGUGUGAAAUCUAAAGAGUGGAAAAUUGUAUGUAGAUUAUUAAAGCUAGUGGGGACUAUCAGAUAAAAAGUAUGGAGCACUAAAAAAGAAAGGAGAAAGUUCUUUGAAAUGAACCACCAGUCCAAAUUUUGUGGUGUAGAUCUCUCACAAGGAUUAAUGAGAUAGAAUAAUCUCAUUAAAUCUUUUGGCUUUUAUAGUUGCAAUAGUUGAAGAAAUGAUGAUGUCUUUUCUUUUGUGAUAUUUGCAACUACAUAAUCUUAUCUUGAAUUCUUGAUAAGAAUAAUAUUUAUUUGUCCUUUUAUUCAACUAAUUGUAUUGACAAAUCUUAUUAAAUAUUUUUGCUUUUGGCACUACUUGAAAAAUAAAGCCAUCUUCUCUCUUUUUAAUAUCUCAAACUGGAGAAGGUUUUUAUUAAUUCAGAAGCAUUAUUUUUUAACCAUUCAUUGAUUAUUUAUACAUGUAUGUAAAUUAUAGUUAAAAAAAAUAUACACAGGAAAAAAUAAAUGAGAAAAGAAUAGUACUCUAAAAAUAGAUAAAUUUUUUUCCUCAAGUUAUGUGCUGUACCCCCACUUUUAACUUAACUCACAUGCAUUAACAGAUAUACUCUCCUUAUUUAUAAAAUGUUAAUAAGUAUUAUGAUAUUUUGUCAGCUCUAUAUUUGACUGUUGACUGCUAUUUAAUUAAGCAAAUUUUUUUUUAAUACAAUAAGGGUGAUAAUAUUAAUUAAAAGACAAAAAUAUUAUUUGCUUCUUUUCAAUCUUUUGCUAUCAUAUAUAUAGAGACAAUACGAGAAAUGAAUGUAAAAUCAACUCUUGAUAUUGACUCCUGUAAAUAAUCAUUAAAUCUUCUUCAGUUCUUCUCAUCAGUCGCGUUCAUUUCAUGUUUGUUAAUUUGAACACAACUCUGCACCAGGGCCAAGGCGACUUUAGGCCGCGAAUUAAACGGUUGGUUGGGACCCAUAUUUCAAUUUGUUUUUUUUUGGGUUUUGUUUUCCUAAUAAUAAUUGAAUUAAUAAAUUUUUUAAGUUGUAUACAGUAUAAAAUAGUGAUGCAAUGGGGAGGGGAGGGGAGGGGAGGGGAUAUCCUCAUUCUCAUUCUCGAUAUUUUAUAUAUGUUCCCGUCCCCAUCAGAAUUGCUUAAAAAAAUUUUCAUCCUCUCUUCAAAUAAUAAAAAGGAAUCCCCGAUCCUUGAAAAAUUCUUAAUAACCAAUACAUUUUUAGUUUGUAAAAUUGAUUUAAUAUAUUAAAAUAAAAAACUUAAAUAAAAAUAAAGUUUGACAAUAUAUCUUGGUAAAGUUUGGAUGUUAUAGCUUUACAUUUUGCUUUAGUUGUUGUUUUAUUAGAUAAAAGUUAAAAAUAAAAAAAUUUGGGCCAAGGCCCUUUUGAAUAAGACCUAAUCAAAUAGAAAUUUAGGACUCCAAUUUAUUAGUUGGGCCCUAAAAUUUUAUAGUAUAUUUGUAUAAAUAUUUUGAAAUUUUUUAUUUAUAUUAAUAUUUAAUAUUUUUUAAUUUUGAUUUAUUAUUUAUUCAUUACUAUUUCUAAAGAAUAAAGUUAGAAUUAAAAAUCAAAUUGGGAAAAUGAGGAUUGGGGAGGGGAUGGGGAUUCAAGCUCAUCCACGUCUCUUCCCCGAAAAAGAAAUUAGGUAAAAAAUUAUCUUUAUCCCUUCCCCGAAUAAGAAAUUGAAUAUAAAAUUAUCCUCAUACCCUCCCCAAAUAAGAAAAAUUCCCGAAGGCCCCUGUCCCCAUGGGGAUUUCUGCCAUCGCUAGUAUAAAAACUUAUUUUUUAGGUCUUUCUCUAAUUAAUAAGUAUCCUACAAUUAAGAUUUUUAUAUAAAUUCUAUAUUUGAUAACUUUAAAAAGGUAUAAUUAAUAAUAUUGUACAGUAGUUUCAUUAUUAAUUUUUUCAACUUAAUAAAGAUUUUUAAUCAUUAAGUUUUUGAGCUAAUUUAUAUUUUUUUGCUUUUUGCUUAACCUAAAAAGUCUAAAUGAUAUCAUUAAAAGAUAUUCUCCAAAAUAUCUCUAUCUAAUUAAUUAAUUUUCAUGGGGGGAGGAGAUGGCGGGAGAUAAGGCGGGAGUAUGUGACGACUAGAAACGCGGUGGCAACCACAACUACCAUGGCGAUCAACGGCGGGCUGAAGUCAACUGGAGGUUUGGUAUUAUUAUUAUUGUUAUUAUUAUUCGACGGUGGUGAUGUUGACGACGACGACGACGACGACGACGACGACGACGUGAUGUCGUAAGCUGUGGUCGGGCUGAUUGGAGGAUAUGCGGGGGGUAAGCUGAUCAUGAUGAUGGUGGUGAGGGGAAGGUUGGGUGCCUCCAGUGAGGUUUUCGCGCAGGGGGUUUAAUGUUAAGGUUUGACUGUUUUUGUUUGUGUAUUUUAGAGCUUUUGUUGACGGAGAGUCGGGCGAGUGACACGUCGUUUCUGCUGAAUUUAAGGCACAUGGGGAGAUAUCAGGUGCGUGUGAACGACAAUAGAAGCAUUUACUGCUGCGCUUAUUAUUUCUCGGCACGUCAUAAUUGGUGCUUCGUGUUUAUCUUUGUUAUCCACGUGGCUGUGAUUUAUUGGUUAUUGACUAGGAAGUCGUCUUGCUUCUGUUAUUUUAUUUAUUUUUAUUUAUUUUUAUUUAUUAUAUAGAGAGUAAAGCAAAGAGAAUACGUGGCUUUGAUGUGGUGGCCCACAGCGCAAUUUCCACAAAACUAAAAGGCACAUCAUGCAUAAUAUAAAAACUCUUUUUGUUGACUUCCACUCUGCUUUUUCUGAUGACUGAUUGUAAGGGGCAGGCUGUUUGCCAGUUUCUUCAUUGGCUCUUGAACAUUUUGCUUUCUUGGGAAAUAACUCAUAGGUCCCCGAGAGCUUUCAUUUUCACAAAUGGCAACAUAAUUUGUCCGUUUGUAUUAAGUGGAUCUUCCGCCACUUCUGUUAAGUAAUUUGUCCGUUUGGUCAUUUCACUAAGGAUUAUGGACCUGUUUCAUACAAAUGGAAUAUUAUGCGCUUAUUUGUUGAAACCUAAAAUCCUCUGGAUCUGGGUGUUAUUAUUUCAAUUUUUUAAUCAUGUAAAUUUGCUCAUUCACCUAAUCAUGGAAGUAUGAAAGUGUGUGUAUUGGAUCAUUAGAAUUACAAAUAUAAGUCAUGUCUCUAAUAUAGACACCACCACACUGUAAGUUUAUAUAACACGAGUUAAUAGGACUUUAUAAGUACAUAGGCUUCGUUAUUUGUAAUAAUUGUUGUACAAUUCUUAGCGUAAGGCAAUUUUGGUCUAGUAAUUUGUUUUUUUUGAGAAAC